AGAGUGAACGCUGGCGGCAGGCCUAACACAUGCAAGUCGAACGGCAGCACAGAGGAGCUUGCUCCUUGGGUGGCGAGUGGCGGACGGGUGAGGAAUACGUCGGAAUCUGCCUAUUUGUGGGGGAUAACGUAGGGAAACUUACGCUAAUACCGCAUACGACCUACGGGUGAAAGCGGAGGACCUUCGGGCUUCGCGCAGAUAGAUGAGCCGACGUCGGAUUAGCUAGUUGGCGGGGUAAAGCCCACAAGGCGACGAUCCGUAGCUGGUCUGAGAGGAUGAUCAGCCACACUGGAACUGAGACACGGUCCAGACUCCUA
RNAcentral lists this ribosomal RNA (317 nucleotides) under uncultured soil bacterium. RNAcentral's name for it is "bacterial SSU rRNA". It matches the Rfam family "Bacterial small subunit ribosomal RNA", at positions 26 to 341 of the family's 1533-position model. The record is from RNAcentral.